GAUGAACGCUGGCGGCGUGCCUAAUACAUGCAAGUCGAGCGAACGGACGAGAAGCUUGCUUCUCUGAUGUUAGCGGCGGACGGGUGAGUAACACGUGGAUAACCUACCUAUAAGACUGGGAUAACUUCGGGAAACCGGAGCUAAUACCGGAUAAUAUUUUGAACCGCAUGGUUCAAAAGUGAAAGACGGUCUUGCUGUCACUUAUAGAUGGAUCCGCGCUGCAUUAGCUAGUUGGUAAGGUAACGGCUUACCAAGGCAACGAUGCAUAGCCGACCUGAGAGGGUGAUCGGCCACACUGGAACUGAGACACGGUCCAGACUCCUACGGGAGGCAGCAGUAGGGAAUCUUCCGCAAUGGGCGAAAGCCUGACGGAGCAACGCCGCGUGAGUGAUGAAGGUCUUCGGAUCGUAAAACUCUGUUAUUAGGGAAGAACAUAUGUGUAAGUAACUGUGCACAUCUUGACGGUACCUAAUCAGAAAGCCACGGCUAACUACGUGCCAGCAGCCGCGGUAAUACGUAGGUGGCAAGCGUUAUCCGGAAUUAUUGGGCGUAAAGCGCGCGUAGGCGGUUUUUUAAGUCUGAUGUGAAAGCCCGCGGCUCAACCGUGGGGGGUCAUUGGAAACUGGAAAACUUGAGUGCAGAAGAGGAAAGUGGAAUUCCAUGUGUAGCGGUGAAAUGCGCAGAGAUAUGGAGGAACACCAGUGGCGAAGGCGACUUUCUGGUCUGUAACUGACGCUGAUGUGCGAAAGCGUGGGGAUCAAACAGGAUUAGAUACCCUGGUAGUCCACGCCGUAAACGAUGAGUGCUAAGUGUUAGGGGGUUUCCGCCCCUUAGUGCUGCAGCUAACGCAUUAAGCACUCCGCCUGGGGAGUACGACCGCAAGGUUGAAACUCAAAGGAAUUGACGGGGACCCGCACAAGCGGUGGAGCAUGUGGUUUAAUUCGAAGCAACGCGAAGAACCUUACCAAAUCUUGACAUCCUUUGACAACUCUAGAGAUAGAGCUUUCCCCUUCGGGGGACAAAGUGACAGGUGGUGCAUGGUUGUCGUCAGCUCGUGUCGUGAGAUGUUGGGUUAAGUCCCGCAACGAGCGCAACCCUUAAGCUUAGUUGCCAUCAUUAAGUUGGGCACUCUAAGUUGACUGCCGGUGACAAACCGGAGGAAGGUGGGGAUGACGUCAAAUCAUCAUGCCCCUUAUGAUUUGGGCUACACACGUGCUACAAUGGACAAUACAAAGGGCAGCGAAACCGUGAGGUCAAGCAAAUCCCAUAAAGUUGUUCUCAGUUCGGAUUGUAGUCUGCAACUCGACUACAUGAAGCUGGAAUCGCUAGUAAUCGUAGAUCAGCAUGCUACGGUGAAUACGUUCCCGGGUCU
This 1372-nucleotide ribosomal RNA is filed under the name uncultured bacterium. RNAcentral's name for it is "bacterial SSU rRNA". It matches the Rfam family "Bacterial small subunit ribosomal RNA", at positions 28 to 1381 of the family's 1533-position model. The record is from RNAcentral.